UUUGUAUAAUUUGUGUGUUUGAUGGGCUUCUUUCUGUGUACUAAUAUGAGUCGGACUCGUUAGUCUCAUAAUAAAUGCCGAUUGAAGGACACAAUUUUUGGGACCAGCUUGACCAAACCAUGUAAUCUACGAAAACUGUAUAAGUUGUACCAGAGUUGUUACUGUGUCAUUCAAAAUCCAAUCAAAUGAAUGUUGUUGACAAAAGCUAUUACAUAAGAUAAGCUCAAUAAUAUGGCAUGGCUUCACAUUUUAUUCGUCAAUCUAAUUUUGGCUAUAUGGUUUGGUCUCGUAUGACCGAUGGAAACACCGAUAAAAAACAAGAUAAAUCUCACAAUUCGGUGAAAAUGGGUAUUUACUAUUUACUUAUUUAGAUAUUCGAAAAAGUCAAACACAAAAAAAAAACGCAUUAUUUUUGAAAACGGCAUUAGUUUUUUUCUCCUUGUCAAUUCUUUCAUAAUGAGCUCCUCUGGGACGUCCUCAAUUGCAUUAGGCGGUGGAUCCGCUGAGGCAGCUGCUGCCAAAAGCACCUCAAAGCGUCCAAAAUAUUCAAGAUUUACCCAACAGGAGCUUCCAGCAUGCAAACCCAUUCUUACUCCAAAAUGGGUGAUUCUGACUUUUCUUGUCUCAGGGGUUGUCUUUAUUCCUCUUGGAGUGAUUUGCCUAUUUGCUUCUCAGGGUGUCAUCGAAAUUGUUUAUCGAUAUGACAUAGACUGCAUUCCAUUAUCCUCUAGGGACAACAAAGUCAGAUACAUACAGGGCUUAGAAGAUAAGAGGUGUAACAGAACAAUAAUGGUGACAAAAACUAUGAAGAAUCCGGUGUAUGUAUAUUACCAGCUUGAGAACUAUUACCAAAACCAUCGACGGUAUGUGAAAAGUCGACAAGAUGGACAAUUGAGAAGUCCGAAAGAUGAGCACGAUGUGAAAUCAUGUGCGCCCGAGGAUACUAUAGAUGGUGAACCCAUUGUUCCUUGUGGUCUUGUUGCUUGGAGUUUGUUCAAUGAUACUUAUGACUUCACUAGAAACAAUCAAAAACUCCCUGUGAAUAAGAAAGGCAUCUCAUGGAAGAGUGAUAGAGAAUCAAAGUUUGGUAAAAAUGUCUUCCCGAAAAAUUUCCAGAAAGGAUCUCCCAUCGGCGGUAAAAGUCUUGAUCCUGAUGUUCCAUUAAGUGAACAAGAAGAUCUAAUUGUCUGGAUGCGAACUGCGGCUCUACCAACAUUUAGAAAGCUGUACGGUAAAAUAGAUACUGAUCUUCAAGCCGGAGAUACGAUAAAGGUCUUGUUACAGAACAAUUACAACACUUAUAGCUUCAAUGGAAAGAAGAAGCUUGUGCUCUCUACCACUAGCUGGCUCGGUGGAAGGAAUGAUUUCCUUGGGAUUGCGUAUUUGACUGUUGGUAGCAUAUGCUUGUUCUUGGCUGUUUCCUUCUCUGUCUUGUAUCUAGCAAAACCAAGGCAAUUGGGAGAUCCAUCGUACUUGUCAUGGAACAGAAGUGCUGGAGGUGGACGAUGAUAAGAGUUGUUUUAAGCUCUUGUUUGUUGUUUCUGGGAUCUGUCACUUACUUCUCCUUCUAUUGCUCAAAGUUUGUUGGGAACUAACUAAAUUAAACGCUGCGACCACGGUGUAAAGGUUGGUAUCACUGGGUCAGGAACCCAUAUGUAUGUAUUGUCAGAAUCAUGCAUAAUGGACAUGAGAGGUUGAAACU
RNA transcript from Arabidopsis lyrata subsp. lyrata, 1702 nucleotides. It is a transcript of the gene named putative ALA-interacting subunit 4, with no coding region annotated. Lineage: Eukaryota; Viridiplantae; Streptophyta; Magnoliopsida; Brassicales; Brassicaceae. The transcript is spliced from 9 exons. The record is from RefSeq and is a predicted model, not a curated record.